RNAcentral lists this long non-coding RNA (1208 nucleotides) under Panax ginseng (ginseng). RNAcentral's name for it is "long non-coding RNA (PGIN_LNC010738)". Lineage: Eukaryota; Viridiplantae; Streptophyta; Magnoliopsida; Apiales; Araliaceae. The record is from RNAcentral.
UUGCAAUGCACAAAUAUUAUAGGAUGUUACAAUAUAUGGAAUAUAGUGUAGGCAAUUUGAAAUUAUAUUGCUUCCCAAGUUAGGUGGACUUCUGUUCUUUAAAAGACUUGAACCAUCCAAAACUUUAGUUAUCGACUAUAUUUUAAAAUUAAAACAAGAGCAUACCUAUUCAAGUCAAACUAGAGUUAUUUUUUCCCUUUCAACUUUUUAUUUUUUUCUGUUAGCACUCAAGUGAUUGUGAUUGGAUCUAUCUUUAGUAUAAUAAGUUUUUACUUGAAUUGUUGGGAAUUUCACACUAAGAAGAGCCUAUAUUGGAUUUAUUGCCUACAGAUCAACACUUGUAAACUCUCUUAUUACUGGUAUAUCAUCUGAUAUUGUUAUAAAUGAUCUUUAAAGUGGACACAAGCACAAGCGAAUCUGGAUUUAGCAUGCAGGUCAGUGCUAUAUAUAGAUAAAAAAGUUGUGGAAGAAAGAAAUCAACAUAUUACUUUUUUAGUACUAAAUAAGUGCAUGAUGUAUAACCUGUUUUGCAUAGAGGAAGAAAAUUGAUCUACCAUAUCAAGGAAAAUUGGAACAUUUUCUUUCUGAUAAUACUUUUGAAGGACCAAUUACAAUUGUAUGGUGUAUUCUUCACCGCAACAAUCUAUUGAUCUUAAGGAAUUGGAGAAUAUGAUUGACAAGAUUGUCCUCUGUCGAUUGCAUAUAAAGUCUAUGGAUGCUUCUACCAAUGAUAGUACACCACAACCGUUCAUUGUUAUAGAUAUUACUGAACAUAUAACUAAAUUGGUAGAGAGGAAGUUUACCAACUUCCUUCAAACAUUUACCAAUAUUUACCAACUAUGAUUCACUUGAGGUAUUUAUUAAUAACUAUAUUUUUGUCUUUGUCCUUCAUUAAUCUCCCUCUAUCCAUUAAUUUAAGUUCACCAGGUUUAUUUUUUCUUAUUCCUCACCUUGUUGAAAUUGAUUUUUUGUGUUUCUUUUGCAGGAGGAACUUUACAGGCCCAACCUUGAUUUCCUUGAAGAAAUGAUGAUGAAGUGGACCUAACAUGAUGUACACUUCAUUCCUUCUAGCUCGUUGUUAUUUUUUUUUUAUAGUUUUUUUAUGUUAGUUAUUAAAUAUUUUAAGUAAUAUGAUCCUUGGGAGAUCAAGAUACAAUAACAAAUUAUGUACUUAUUGUGACUUGAGCAUUAUCUAUUUAUAUAUGGAG